UUUUUAAAACAUUGAUUUUUAUGCGUAAUAUUUAAUUAAUUAAAGAAUUUUAAAGAAGUUUUAUGUUAGUCGAGAACGACUAACAUCAAACAAGUUUACCACCAUAUUAUCAUGUUACUGUCUCGUAAGUUUUACUUCUAAUUGGUGAAUAAUGUGUGAUAAUUUCAGUUUUGAGCUAAAAGCUGCUUUGUUCUCACCACAUUGUGUACUCAUGAAACAUAUUAGACCCUAAAAUCCUUUAAUUAUUUCGUAUUGACUCAAGAAAUGAGAAGAAUAAAAAUCCAUGCUCAUCUUAUCUCAUUUUCUAUCUCUCUCUCUCUCUCUCUCUCUCUCUCUCUCUCUCUCUCUCUCUCUCUCUCUCUUGAAACUGCAGUCAUAAAGACAGGUACACAUGCAGAUCCCAAUCCCUGCAAAUUACUUUGUCACAAUCUACUACAGUAGUUUUUAAAAAUCACUUUGUCCCAAUUUUGCCCUGCAUAUAAUUGUUCGAGUGGAGGAAAUGCACGAUUGACAUUUUGGCAACUGUCAAAUCUCUUUCUUUAUCAAACGUUGUAUUAUUGGAUUAGAUGUUAGAUAUUUUUAUGCAUAAUAUUUAAUUAAUUAGAAAAUUUUAAAGAACACUCACCCUCAUAAUUAGGAGAGGCCAAUUCCUAGGCCCUCUCAUCCUCUCUCAACGCUCUCACUCUCAGAGCUCUCUCUCCCUCAAAUCUCUUUCUUUAUCAAACGUUGAGAACAACUAACAUCAAAUAAGUUCACCACCAUAUUAUCACAUUAUGGUCUUGUAAGUUUUACUCCUAAUUGGUGAAUAAUGUGUGAUAAUUUCAGUUUUGAUUGCUAAAAGCUGCUUUGUUCUCACUACAUUGUGUACUCAUGAAACAUAUUAGACCCAUGUAAAAACCUUUAAUUAUU
Molecule: long non-coding RNA, 909 nt
Filed under: Malus domestica (apple)
Lineage: Eukaryota; Viridiplantae; Streptophyta; Magnoliopsida; Rosales; Rosaceae
Description: long non-coding RNA (MDOM_LNC016097)
Source: RNAcentral